RNAcentral lists this long non-coding RNA (4976 nucleotides) under Capsella rubella. RNAcentral's name for it is "long non-coding RNA (CRUB_LNC001050)". Lineage: Eukaryota; Viridiplantae; Streptophyta; Magnoliopsida; Brassicales; Brassicaceae. The record is from RNAcentral.
UGUAAAGGAUGUCAAAGCCUUGGUCCAUCAAGAAAUUAAAGAAAAAUCAGUGGGCUUUGCCAACCAAAUAAUGCCCACUGCAAUAUCACACAACAAAACUUCUGCAACCUCUAACGGUCACAAAAACGUAUCAAUACACACGCCAUGUGCUCUCCGUACAGUCAAACUUCAGAACAGAUUUGAAGUUCUCGGAUCUCCCAUUCACUGCAGAUGAUGACACUUGUCAACAAUCAACAUAACCUUUGUAAUCUAUAGCUUUGGGCUAUAUAUAGACAAUGUGGUGUAAGAAGAAAAGAUAAGAAUAAAGUUAUCUCUUUGAGCCUCUCUUCUCUGUAUUAUCUAGGGUUUUAGCUCUUACUUUCAUGGUAUCAGAGCACAGGUAAUACGUUCCUUGGUUUCAAUGGAGUCUUUUUCUUCUGCUCCUCUGUCUAUUUCUCAAGUUGUUACUCUUAAACUUACAGAGUCCAACUACCUCCUUUGGAAAACUCAAUUUGAGUCCUUCCUUUCUCCUCAACAGCUCUUGGGUUAUGUCAAUGGACUUACUCCACGUCCUGCAUCUACUAUAACUGAAACUGUUGCCGGCACUACUACAACAACACCAAACCCAGAUUUCGUGAAGUGGGUUCGUAAUGACCAACUGGUCAUGGCUUGGAUUUUCGGUUCUCUGUCUGAGCCAGCCUUAAGAGUGGUCUAUGGUAUGCAAUCUGCUCAAGAGGUAUGGACUGCUCUUGCUAAGAAGUUUAACAGAGUUUCCACUACUAGAAAAUUCGAUCUGCAAAAUCGUUUGCGUGCUUGCCUUAAAUAUGGUCGUUCUAUGGAGGAAUAUCUUAGUGAACUUAAACAAAUCUAUGACCAACUAGACUCUAUAGGGUUUCCUAUGACUGAUUUAGAGAAGAUACAUGGAUUACUCUCUGGUCUAGGAAAAGAGUAUGAGUCUGUCACUACUGUUAUUGAACACUCUAUGGAUUCAACACCUGGUCCUUGUUAUGAAGAUGUUGUCUUCAAAGUUAUUGCUUUUGAUGACAAGCUAAAAGCUUACUCGAGUGCUGCAACUGUUACGCCUCAUCUGGCCUUUCAAGCUGAAAAGAGCUACUUUGACAGAGGUGGUUCCAACUCUAGGGGCGGUAGAUCUGGUUCUGGCGGUAGUUACAGAGGAAGAAACAACUACUCCACUAGAGGUCGUGGCUUCCAACAACAUGGCAGUGGUCAAAAUAGUGGAACCUCUCGGCCUACUUGUCAAAUAUGUGGAAAGUUUGGUCAUAGCGCUUUUAAAUGUUACAACCGGUUCAAUGAAGCUUUUCAACAGCCUGACUUACCUAGUGCUAUGGCUGCUAUGCGUGUUUCUAAUGAAGAACAACAUAACGGUAAUGAGUGGCUUCCUGACAGUGGUUCCACUGCUCAUAUUACUAAUACCACUGCAAACCUGCAACAUACUCAGCCUUACCAAGGCCAAGAUUCAGUGAUGGUUGGGAAUGGUGAAUUUCUGCCUAUUACUCAUAUUGGAUCUGUUCCGCUUCAGACCUUGUCAGGUACAUCUCUUCCUCUAAAUGAUGUGCUUGUUUGUCCAAAUGUUACUAAAUCUCUUCUGUCAGUUUCUAAGCUGUGUUCAGAUUAUCCUUGCUCCUUUAAAUUUGACUCUGAUGGUGUGCGUGUAAAGGACAAACAUACCAAACAGCUCCUCACAAUAGGAAGCAUGACUAAGGAUCACUAUGUGCUGGAAAAUCCUGCAUUCACAGCCUUCUACUCUACAAGACAAUUGACAGCAAGUGAUGAAGUUUGGCACAAACGUUUAGGUCAUCCAAGUGCAGAGAUUCUCCAACUGCUCUCCUCUACAGAAGCCAUAUCAAUAAAUAAACGCACCACCAAGCUUUGUGAGUCCUGCAGACUUGGCAAGAGUGCCCAGCUUCCUUUUAUUUCUUCUACUUUUGUAGCUAGUAAGCCUCUUGAGAGGUUACAUUGUGAUUUAUGGGGACCUGCCCCAAUCACUUCUACUCAAGGAUUUAAAUAUUAUGUCAUCUUUAUUGACAAUUACUCUCGCUAUUGUUGGUUUUAUCCUUUGAAGAACAAGUCUGAAUUCUACUCAGUUUUUCUUCUAUUUCAAACAUUUGUUGAGACUCAGUUAAAUCAGAAAAUCAAGAUGUUUCAGUGUGAUGGUGGUGGUGAAUUUGUUAGCACUCAGUUUGUCACUCAUCUUGCAAAGUGCGGCAUCAAGCAAUUAAUCUCAUGUCCUCAUACGCCUCAACAAAAUGGGUUAGCAGAGAGAAAGCACCGACACUUAACAGAAUUGGGUCUCAGUAUGAUGUUCCAGAGCAAAGUUCCACAACACUACUGGGUUGAAGCCUUCUUUACUGCCAAUUAUUUGAGUAAUCUCCUUCCUACCUCUGUUCAUCAUCCUUCUAAAAGUCCCUAUGAAGCACUAUUUGAACAGAAACCUGAUUAUUCAGCCUUAAGAGUUUUUGGCAGUGCAUGUUAUCCUACACUUCGUGCUUAUGGAGUAAAUAAAUUUGAUCCUAAGUCCCUAAAGUGUGUAUUUCUUGGUUACAAUGAAAAAUACAAAGGAUAUCGCUGCAUUUAUCCUCCUACUGGUCGAGUUUACAUUAGUAGACAUGUUCUUUUUGAUGAACACUACUACCCCUUUGCACAUGAAUAUUCUACAUUACUUCCUACAGCCACAACAAAACUUCUCUCAGCCUGGCAACAAAGCUUCUUGUCUCCAUGGAUUCCCAACAAUAUAGCUUCGGUUCAGCAAAAGUAUACUGUCACAGAGGGUCGCCAAACUGGAAAUAUAGAACCAGCAACUACAGGACCUGCAAUUCCAGAACCUGCAACUGCUGAACCUGCAAAUGCUGAACCUGCAAUUUCAGAACCUGCAAUUCCAGAACCUGCAAUUCCAGAACCUGCAAUUUCAGAAUCUGAUAAUGACGCUGCUCCACUGGUUGCAGAAAAUGAUUUUCCUCCACUUCAAGCUCCUGUUAUAAAUGAUCAUACUAUGAUCACAAGAGGCAAAGACGGAGUACGAAAGCCUAAUCCCAAAUAUGCAUUGCAUAUCACUCACACCACUGUUAAGGAACCCAAAACAGUUGCUUCUGCUCUGAAACAUCCAGGUUGGACAGCAGCUAUGAUAGAAGAAAUUGAUACAUUUGUUGAAACAAAAACGUUUUCACUUGUCCCAUAUCAGCCAGACAUGAACAUUCUUGGUUCUCGCUGGGUGUUCAAAACAAAACUCCAAGCCGAUGGUAGUUUGGAUAAACUAAGAGCUCGUCUUGUCGCCAAAGGUUAUGAUCAAGAAGAAGGUGUUGAUUUCCUAGAAACCUAUAGCCCUGUUGUUAGAACAGCCACAGUUCGUCUUGUUUUACAUGCUGCCACGGUUCACAAAUGGGACAUCAAACAACUGGAUGUUAAAAACGCCUUUUUACAUGGUGAUUUGACAGAAACAGUUUAUAUGCAUCAACCUCCCGGGUUUCUUGAUAGUCAAAAUCCAGAACAUGUUUGGAAACUUCACAAAGCUGUUUAUGGCUUAAAACAAGCGCCUAGAGCCUGGUUUAACAAAUUCAGCACUUUUCUUCUGCAGUUUGGUUUUGAAUGCAGUCUUAAAGAUCCAUCUCUCUUUGUGUACUACAAAGGCAAUGAUAUCAUCAUCCUUCUGCUCUAUGUUGAUGAUAUGGUAUUGACAGGAAGCAAUUCAGAGUUAAUUACUAAGCUUCUGCAGUCUCUCCAUCAAGAAUUUCGUAUGAAAGAUAUGGGGAAGUUAAGUUAUUUUCUUGGGAUACAAGCUCACUAUCAUUCUGCAGGCCUAUUCCUCAACCAACAUAAGUAUGCAGAGGAUAUGCUUAUAGCUGCAGGUAUGACUGACUGCGCUCCAGCACCUACUCCGUUACCUUUAGAACUUCAGAAAGUUAAAGGUCAAGAUGAAAAAUUUGACCAGCCAACAUUUUUCAGAAGCCUAGCUGGUAAACUGCAAUAUCUCACCCUUACAAGACCAGACAUACAAUUUGCAGUCAACCUGGUUUGUCAAAAAAUGCAUUCGCCUACUAUUGCUGAUUUCAGUCUUCUCAAGCGGAUUAUUCGCUACAUCAAAGGUACAAUUGAUUAUGGAAUCUCCUUUACUCAUGAUACAGAUUUCACAUUAAGAGCAUACAGUGAUAGCGAUUGGGCUGGCUGUCAAACUACUAGCCGCUCUACUGGUGGUUUCUGUACAUUCCUUGGCACAAACAUAAUCUCCUGGUCUGCUAAGCGCCAGCCAACCGUGUCUAGAAGUUCAACUGAAGCUGAGUAUCGCUGUCUUUCGGAUACUGCAGCAGAGGUCACUUGGCUAAAGGAUUUGCUAGAAAACAUUGGUAUGCCUAUUUCUCAACCACCUGAACUAUACUGUGAUAACUUGUCUGCUGUGUAUCUCUCAGCAAACCCUGCUCUGCAUAAAAAGUCGAAGCACUUCAAGACUCACUACCACUAUGUUCGGGAACAAGUUGCAGAAGGCAUUCUUACAGUCUAUCAUAUUCACGCAGUGCACCAACUGGCUGAUAUAUUCACCAAGUCACUGCCAAUUCCAGCCUUCAAUGAUCUCAGGUACAAACUUGGUGUGGUCUCACCACCCACCCAAAGUUUGAGGGGGGAUGUAAAGGAUGUCAAAGCCUUGGUCCAUCAAGAAAUUAAAGAAAAAUCAGUGGGCUUUGCCAACCAAAUAAUGCCCACUGCAAUAUCACACAACAAAACUUCUGCAACCUCUAACGGUCACAAAAACGUAUCAAUACACACGCCAUGUGCUCUCCGUACAGUCAAACUUCAGAACAGAUUUGAAGUUCUCGGAUCUCCCAUUCACUGCAGAUGAUGACACUUGUCAACAAUCAACAUAACCUUUGUAAUCUAUAGCUUUGGGCUAUAUAUAGACAAUGUGGUGUAAGAAGAAAAGAUAAGAAUAAAGUUAUCUCUUUGAGCCUCUCUUCUCUGUAUUAUCUAGGGUUUUAGCUCUUACUUUC